UAUGAGGUGGUCGAAUUUUAGUCGGUAGAUUGUAAAUCUAUGUAUAAGCAUAGCUUUCUCAUAA
Molecule: transfer RNA, 64 nt
Filed under: Acanthosepion lycidas
Lineage: Eukaryota; Metazoa; Mollusca; Cephalopoda; Sepiida; Sepiidae
Description: Sepia lycidas tRNA-Tyr
Source: RNAcentral